This is a transfer RNA of 72 nucleotides. It matches the Rfam family "tRNA". Rfam says of the family: Transfer RNA (tRNA) molecules are approximately 80 nucleotides in length. The record is from Rfam.
GCCCUGUUAGCUCAGUGGUAGAGCAUUAGGCUUUUAACCUAAGGGCCGCGGGUUCGAGUCCCGCACAGGGUG